AGUGGGAUAGCUGGGUCAAAUGGUGGCUCCAUUCCAAGUUUUCUAAGGAAUCUCCAUACUGCUUUCCAUAUUGGUUGCACCAAUUUGCUGACCUACCAGCAAU
This 103-nucleotide microRNA precursor is filed under the name Marmota monax (woodchuck). The record is from RNAcentral. Lineage: Eukaryota; Metazoa; Chordata; Mammalia; Rodentia; Sciuridae.